RNAcentral lists this ribosomal RNA (446 nucleotides) under uncultured bacterium. RNAcentral's name for it is "SSU rRNA". It matches the Rfam family "Bacterial small subunit ribosomal RNA", at positions 26 to 518 of the family's 1533-position model. The record is from RNAcentral.
AGGAUGAACGCUGGCGGCGUGCCUAAGACAUGCAAGUCGAGUGGGUUUAGACCCACGGCGAACGGGUGAGUAAUACCUAGGAACUUUCUUUAAGUGGAGCAUAACCAGUCGAAAGAUUGGAUAAUACUUCAUGUGACCGCAAGGUUAAAGUCGCAAGACGCUUAAAGUGAGGCCUGGGCACCAUCAGCUAGUUGGUAAGGUAAUGGCUUACCAAGGCUAUGACGGUUAGGGGUCCCGAGAGGGAUAACCCCCACACUGGAACUGCGACACGGUCCAGACUCCUACGGGAGGCAGCAGUUUGGAAUUUUGGACAAUGGGCGAAAGCCUGAUCCAGCGACGCCGCGUGGACGAUGAAGGCCUUCGGGUCGUAAAGUCCUUUUGCUCGGGAACAAUAUUUUGAGCGUACCGAGAGAAUAAGAGGUUGCUAACUCUGCGCCAGCAGCCGC